This 676-nucleotide ribosomal RNA is filed under the name Tetramitus sp. RNAcentral's name for it is "SSU rRNA". It matches the Rfam family "Eukaryotic small subunit ribosomal RNA", at positions 612 to 1182 of the family's 1831-position model. Lineage: Eukaryota; Heterolobosea; Eutetramitea; Acrasida; Vahlkampfiidae. The record is from RNAcentral.
GUUGUAGUUAAACGCCCGUAGUAAACCAAAGGGUUAUAGUUAUUGAUCUGACCAGUACUGUUCGUAACGUCAGCCACGUAUUGUGGGUGAUAGGACGAAUAAGGACAGGUCCUCGGUCUCUAACGGAAGCUAAGGUUUCCUUAGCAUCCGCCAUGGGAUAGGUCAAUGAUUAUGGCUCGCUCCCUGCCAGUCCGUAAGGUCUGGUAGGGCCAUUUGGCACAACCGUAAACAAAUCAGAGUGCUCCAAGCAGGCAAUGUUAGGGGUAACCCAUUUGCUUGAAUGAUUUAGCAUGGAAUUGUCACGAAGCCGAUCGGAAACUUUGAGGGUUUACCUGAGAAGUGGAAGAUCCGGCGCUCGCAAUGAGACACUGGUAGAGGAUCCAAGUACUAUGGCGCGAGAGGUGAAAUUCAGUGACCGCCAUAUGACUAUCUAAUGCGAAAGCAGUUGUGAUCCAGAACGUGUCUGUCAAUCAGGGACGAAAGUUAAGGGAUCGAAGAUGAUUAGAUACCGUCGUAGUCUUAACCGUAAACGAUACCAACACGAGAUUGGUAGUGAGACUUUUAGAUCCUAUCAGAAUCCAAGGGAAACCGUUAAGUUUUUGGGUUCUGGGGGGGAGUAUGGUCGCAAGGCUGAAACUUAAAGGAAUUGACGGAAAGGCACCACCAGGAGUGGAGU